This 422-nucleotide ribosomal RNA is filed under the name uncultured bacterium. RNAcentral's name for it is "bacterial SSU rRNA". It matches the Rfam family "Bacterial small subunit ribosomal RNA", at positions 355 to 774 of the family's 1533-position model. The record is from RNAcentral.
UGAGGAAUAUUGGGCAAUGCCCGCAAGGGUGACCCAGCAACGCCGCGUGGAGGAUGAAUGUCGUAAGAUUUUAAACUCCUGUUAGAGGGGAAGAAUAGUACCGGUUGGACCGGUAUAUGACUGUACCCUCAGAGAAAGCCCCGGCUAACUACGUGCCAGCAGCCGCGGUAAUACGUAGGGGGCAAGCGUUGUCCGGAUUUACUGGGUGUAAAGGGCGCGCAGGCGGGAUAAAAAGUCAGUGGUGAAAUCCUACAGCUUAACUGUAGAACUGCCUUUGAUACUUUUAUUCUUGAGUUCGGGAGAGAGAGACGGAAUUCCAGGUGUAGUGGUGAAAUACGUAGAUAUCUGGAAGAACACCAGUUGCGAAGGCGGUCUCUUGGUCCGACACUGACGCUGAGGCGCGAAAGCGUGGGGAGCAAACA